AUUGAACGCUGGCGGCAGGCCUAACACAUGCAAGUCGAGCGGUAGCACAGAGAGCUUGCUCUCGGGUGACGAGCGGCGGACGGGUGAGUAAUGUCUGGGAAACUGCCUGAUGGAGGGGAUAACUACUGGAAACGGUAGCUAAUACCGCAUAACGUCGCAAGCCCAAAGAGGGGGACCCAUGGGCCUCUUGCCAUCCGAUGUCACCAGAUGGGAUUUGCUAGUAGGUGGGGUAACGGCUCACCUAGGCGACGAUCCCUAGCUGGUCUGAGAGGAUGACCAGCCACACUGGAACUGAGACACGGUCCAGACUCCUACGGGAGGCAGCAGUGGGGAAUAUUGCACAAUGGGCGCAAGCCUGAUGCAGCCAUGCCGCGUGUAUGAAGAAGGCCUUCGGGUUGUAAAGUACUUUCAGCGGGGAGGAAGGUGUUGAGGUUAAUAACUUCAGCAAUUGACGUUACCCGCAGAAGAAGCACCGGCUAACUCCGUGCCAGCCGCCGCAGUAA
This 503-nucleotide ribosomal RNA is filed under the name uncultured bacterium. Its description in RNAcentral is "partial 16S ribosomal RNA". It matches the Rfam family "Bacterial small subunit ribosomal RNA", at positions 30 to 523 of the family's 1533-position model. The record is from RNAcentral.